This 362-nucleotide ribosomal RNA is filed under the name uncultured Pseudomonas sp. RNAcentral describes it as "bacterial SSU rRNA". It matches the Rfam family "Bacterial small subunit ribosomal RNA", at positions 68 to 433 of the family's 1533-position model. Lineage: Bacteria; Pseudomonadati; Pseudomonadota; Gammaproteobacteria; Pseudomonadales; Pseudomonadaceae. The record is from RNAcentral.
UUGCAGAGAAGCUUGCUUCUCUUGAGAGCGGCGGACGGGUGAGUAAAGCCUAGGAAUCUGCCUGGUAGUGGGGGAUAACGUUCGGAAACGGACGCUAAUACCGCAUACGUCCUACGGGAGAAAGCAGGGGACCUUCGGGCCUUGCGCUAUCAGAUGAGCCUAGGUCGGAUUAGCUAGUUGGUGAGGUAAUGGCUCACCAAGGCGACGAUCCGUAACUGGUCUGAGAGGAUGAUCAGUCACACUGGAACUGAGACACGGUCCAGACUCCUACGGGAGGCAGCAGUGGGGAAUAUUGGACAAUGGGCGAAAGCCUGAUCCAGCCAUGCCGCGUGUGUGAAGAAGGUCUUCGGAUUGUAAAGCAC